CCCCUUGAUCGUCGGCCCGCGGGGGCCUACAUUCGUCUCGUUCCUUCGGGGACUAUGGUGAUAAACGCGCCCGUAAUAAGCGGAUCGGACCCGGGGGCGGUACCCGGCGGCUCCACCAAACACCCUCAUUGGGGGAUCUUGGGGCCGAAACAGGAUCGACGGACGUCUAAAGGGGUUAGCUUUUGCCCGGUGAGAUACCACCGUUAUCGGUUCAAGCUUUAUAGUUGCCAAUGACAACAAAGCUCCGGUCGCGCUCGCUGCGUAAGCAGUGCGCAAGACCAAAACCUUAAGCCCUUGCGCCUAGCAGCGUAAGGCGGGGUCCGCAGGCACCUGGCAACAGAAGCCUGCACC
RNAcentral lists this transfer-messenger RNA (351 nucleotides) under Jannaschia sp. W003. It matches the Rfam family "Alphaproteobacteria transfer-messenger RNA". Rfam says of the family: Bacterial tmRNA, also known as 10Sa RNA or SsrA, is named for its dual tRNA and mRNA-like properties. Its role is to liberate the mRNA from a stalled ribosome. To accomplish this part of the tmRNA is used as a reading frame that ends in a translation stop signal. The record is from RNAcentral. Lineage: Bacteria; Pseudomonadati; Pseudomonadota; Alphaproteobacteria; Rhodobacterales; Roseobacteraceae.